RNAcentral lists this long non-coding RNA (1142 nucleotides) under Gossypium barbadense (sea-island cotton). RNAcentral's name for it is "long non-coding RNA (GBAR_LNC016863)". The record is from RNAcentral. Lineage: Eukaryota; Viridiplantae; Streptophyta; Magnoliopsida; Malvales; Malvaceae.
UUCCCUAUUUCAACCUUUUUCGAAACACAAUCCAAACAAUUAACCAUGUUAUUUAAUCAAGCAUGAAACCAUACGUAUCAAAAUAAACAAGCCAUUUUCGCAUGGCUCAUUAUACAUAUAUGCAUCAUUCAAAAUUUAUUCCAAAAAGUAGUAUAGACUAUACAUGCCAUAAGUUUAAGUUUAACUUUUAUAGAUACCGAUAACGGGCGAUAGUGUGAUUGAUUUCGUUGAAGAUCUCCGAUCCCGCAACUAACUUCCAAAAUCUAUAAAACCGAGGCAAACACAUAUGCAUGGUAAGCUAUCAAAGCUUAGUAAGUCAUAAGCAAAUAAAUAAUUCAAUGUUAUUAAUAGUUCAGAAUCACAUAACCGAAUUAUUCAAUUCAUAUUCAUAUAUAUAUAUAAGCAUAAAAAAAUCAUAAUUUUGAUAUCACAUACCCUUACCAUUUGGCCAAAGAUAGUCUUUAAUACACACACACAUACUUUCAUUUGCAUCAUCUAAUUUGUAUCACAAAUGAAAUAACCAACUUACCUUGAUAUCAUAUAUUAUUUAACUAUUACAUACUUGUAAUAUCAUGUACUUAUAUGUCACAUUCAUCAUUCAUUGGGUUCGCACAAUUUGUGCUAAAUAAUUUGUCGAAGCUAAUAAUGACGUUGCACAAGUAGUGCUCUCUUUUAUUUAACCAAAUUGAUCUUGGUAUCUCACACUUAGUGCUCGUUAUUCGACAUCGUCAUUUUUGUUUCGCACAUUUAAUGCUCGUUAUUCAACAUCGUCAUUUGAAUUUCGCACACUUAGUGCCAUUCGUAUAGCCAUAGCUAUUCCAUACUCGCACACUCAGUGCUAAAUAUCAGUAAAUCACAUCCACGUCUAUUUCUGUUACCCGAACUUAAACACAUUCAGCUAGAUAUAUAUAUUUGCAUGUUUUCAUUUCAGCAUAUAUAUAACUAAUAUUUAUUUAGAAUUUAUAUCAUCUAUUUGCUUAUAAACUUACCUCGGACAACGAUAAACCGGAAUGGAACGAUUAAUCGACGACUUUUGUUUUCUCCCGAUCCAAGUCCGAUUUCUUUAAUUAUUGAUUUGUGAGGAGAAAAGCUUGCUGAAAUUUUUGAGCUCUCAAACCCCUAUUUUGCUGCUAAUUUUCGGU